Molecule: non-coding RNA, 54 nt
Organism: Salmo salar (Atlantic salmon)
Lineage: Eukaryota; Metazoa; Chordata; Actinopteri; Salmoniformes; Salmonidae
Source: Rfam
AAUGCACACAUUUGUAAGUCGCUCUGGAUAAGAGCGUCUGCUAAAUGACUUAAA